RNAcentral lists this long non-coding RNA (300 nucleotides) under Erythranthe guttata (spotted monkey flower). RNAcentral describes it as "long non-coding RNA (EGUT_LNC003640)". The record is from RNAcentral. Lineage: Eukaryota; Viridiplantae; Streptophyta; Magnoliopsida; Lamiales; Phrymaceae.
AGUGCACUAAUCCAUACGAGUAGUUUCAAUUAUUUAGUCUAUGUUGAAAUGUACUUAAGUAGUACCUUGCAAAGCUUUUAAUAUUGUAUUUCUAUGUUAUUUUUUACAGAGAAACUUUGAACCUUCAGAAUUCAGAGUUCUGAGUUCAACGAAACUGCUUGCUGACUUGAAGGUAGGAGAAUAUUGGAGAUCUUUAAGUUAGAAGCUUUUUUUCCCUUCAAAUAAUGAUAAGUGCCAGUUUUGUAUUGUAGGCCAUAUUUUUUAUUAAGACAAAAUCUCUUUUCUUUUUGUUCUGUAAGC